GCUUACGGCCAUACCACCCUGAGAACGCCCGAUCUCGUCUGAUCUCGGAAGCUAAGCAGGGUCGGGCCUGGUUAGUACUUGGAUGGGAGACCGCCUGGGAAUACCAGGUGCUGUAAGCUUUU
RNAcentral lists this ribosomal RNA (122 nucleotides) under Astyanax mexicanus (Mexican tetra). Lineage: Eukaryota; Metazoa; Chordata; Actinopteri; Characiformes; Acestrorhamphidae. The record is from RNAcentral.